AUUCCGACAAGAAUCCUUUAGAGAUUCCGACGGUAAUCUUUCAAGGAUUCCGGCGCGAAUCCUUCAGAAAUUCUGACGUGAAUCCUUCAGAGAUUCCGAUAAGAAUCGUUCAGGGAUUCCAACGGAAAUCCUCUAUGGAUUUCGACGGGAAUUCUUUUGGGAUUUCGACGUGAAUCUUUUUGACAUUACGACGUGAAUCCUUUAGGAAUUCCGACGGGAAUCCUUCACAGAUUCCGACGGAAAUCCUUUAGAGAUUCCGACGUGAAUCCUUCAAGGAUUCUGAUGGGAAUCAUUCAGGGAUUCCGACGGGAAUCCUUCAGAGAUUUCGACGGGACUCCUUUUGGGAUUCCGACGAAAAUCCUUCACAGAUUCCGACAAGAAUCCUUCAGGGAUUUCGACGGGAAUUCUUUUGGGAUUCCGACAUGAAUCCUGUUGGGAUUCCGACAUGAAUCCUUCAGGGAUUCCGACGGGAAUCCUUCAGGGAUUCCGACGGGAAUCCUUCAGGGAUUCUGACGGGAGUCCUUCAGGGAUUCCGACGGGAAUCCUGAGAUUCCGACAAGAAUCCUUCAGUGAUUCCGACGGGAAUCCUUCAGUGAUUCCGACGUGAAUCCUGUUGAGACUCCGACGUGAAUCCUUCAGAGAUUACGACUGAAAUUCUUCAGAGAUUCGGACGAGAAUCCUUCAGAGAUUCCGAUGGGAAUGCGAAUCCUUCAGAGAUUCCGACGGGAAUCCUUCAGAGAUUCCGACGGGAAUCCUUCAGGAAUUCCAACGAGAGUCCAUUAAGGAAUCCUUGAAAGAUUACGACUCAGAUUCUUCAGAGAUUCGGACGAGAAUCCUUCAGAGAUUCCGACGGGAAUGCUUUGGGGAUUCCGAAGGAAAUUCUUCGGAGAUUCAGACGGGAAUGCUUCAGGGAUUCAGACGGAAAUCCUUCAGGGAUUUUGCCCGGAAUUCUUUAUGGACGGGAAUCCUUUUGGGAUUCCGACGUGAAUCCUUUAGGGAUUCUGAUGUGAAUUCUCUAGGGAUUCCGACCGGAAUUCUUGAGGGAUUUUUUCAUAGAUUCCGACGAGAACCCUUCAUAAAUUCCGAUGGGAAUGCUUCGGCGAUUCAAGGCCCAAACUGUUAGAGAUUCUUAUUCUGGGGGACUCUUCUUUUUGUCUCACCCUAUAAUCAGGGUCGUUAAAAUUGCUCUAGGGAGAAAUUGGAUGGAAAAGCUUCCCUUUGUCAAAUAAAACCGAGAAUAGCAGAACAACGAAUGUAAUUGCGAAUGGUAGAAAGGAGUGAUGGUGUGCAAGAAACGUUCACGCUAGAUGUAAUUUAAUUUACAUACACACCAGUAUAGCAUGUCUCAAUACGACAGUUUACAAACACGUACCAGACUUCUCGGAAGCCUACACACUUAAAAUAAAUCGCCGAAUUCGGUAAAAUUUUACCGAAAUCUCAACAGCAGAACUGUUCGGUAAAUAAUUUAACUGAUUUUCGGUGAUUUUGACAGUUGAGCAAUGGAAAAAAUUACAAAAAAUCUGUAAAAUAAAUUACCGAACAGUUCUGCUGUUGAGAUUUCGGUAAAAUUUACCGAAUACGGUGAAAUGAGUUAAGUGUGUACAGGGCCUUGUGGAGAACAAUGCCGCGCAUAACCAAUUGAAAUAAUGGUGUUGGUAAAUGGUCAGUCUUCUGCGAAGUUACUGUUUGGACCAGAGUGUCGAGAACAUCAACGGAAUGAUGAAAACCCUUGCACUACUGGCUCUGCGCCACGAAUUGACACACGCUCUCGAAUUGACAAACGCCUAACAGAUCUAUCAAGACGUGACCGAGAAUCAUCCUAUAUAGAUCUACUUGGCAAUUCUCAUCAGCACAUGGCGCCAUUCAGUGUGGCAAACAUGUCACAAAAAGUUAGAAAAAAUUCGAUUACUGUUUAAUGACCACCGAUCUUGCCACCGAUACAUAGAGGUUGUCCUAUGUCUACAGCUGAUUAUGCUACUGUCCCUCGAUUGUCCCGAUAGUUUGACACGUUACAAAUCCUUCAAAUCCUAAGAUUAGUUUGACAAUAGCAGACAAAUACUUCGCACGUUGACCAAAAACUGAUUGCUGGAGUUCGAAAAUGCAGUUGCAAAGCUGAUCAAAUGUCUCUUCACCCCGCCGGUCUCUGGUUAUAGGGUUGCCGCCGGUCUCUGGUUAUAGUUUCACCCAGCGAGAAAAUCAAAAAUACUUCAAGAAACCUAAAUCGAUAGCAAAAUGGCAACGCUAGAGAAGUCCAAAAUAAAAUGCUAGCAUUGAAUGAAGCUUAAACGCAAACUAAAACCAUUAGUUCUGCCAUACAGUCGAUGUCCACGAUGAAGAGGAUUCGGUGAACCCGUGGUCGGUACCUAUUUUCGACGAUUUGAAAUUGAACGUGCGAACUUACCCAGGAAGCGCUGCAGUUCUUCAGCAAUCCACUGAGUUCAGCUCCAAUCUAAAGGAUUCUAUUAAGCAGUUGUACUCCUAGUGCGACCCAUCCACACAAUGCUCGUAACCCGAAUUAAAUCUAAAAUCUACGAGACUAAGCCUACACCCACUGCUCAGCUGUCUUCCGCCCAAUGCGCCCGUAAUACUGAAUCCUACGUUUGACCCGACUCAACUAGCCCAUUUAUAUCUGCAUUAUGUUCACAUUCCUCCGAAAAGUCAUCACCGACAAGCGGUUCUUAACGGACGCUCGUAGCAUGAUGGUAAAGUUGGCUGCCACCCAACUAAGCAUUACAACAAGGCACGAUCAUUUGUUUGUAUGCUGUUACACGACCUGCGAUAGGACCCGGUAGGACGGGAGAAGGAAACGAAUUUCUUAAAAUGCUGAAACUGGACAUGAUCCGGGUGAACAUGAACGGAUCAUUCGUUCAGGAGAAGAAGUGGAUGAUUGUGGACAGCGAUGGGGAAGACAUCCUUCGAUUGUGGAAGAUCGGUACGUGGCAGUACUUGACAGGGUUUGCUUGCGAUAAACUACCAGACUAAAAAAACUAAAUAAAUGCU
Long non-coding RNA from Armigeres subalbatus, 3000 nucleotides. RefSeq lists it as uncharacterized. The record is from RefSeq and is a predicted model, not a curated record. Lineage: Eukaryota; Metazoa; Arthropoda; Insecta; Diptera; Culicidae. The transcript is spliced from 3 exons.